CGGGAUAUGGCGCAGCUUGGUAGCGUGCCUCGUUCGGGACGAGGAGGUCGCAGGUUCGAAUCCUGUUAUCCCGACCA
Molecule: transfer RNA, 77 nt
Filed under: Corynebacterium doosanense CAU 212 = DSM 45436
Lineage: Bacteria; Bacillati; Actinomycetota; Actinomycetes; Mycobacteriales; Corynebacteriaceae
Description: tRNA-Pro (CGG) (tRNA-Pro-CGG-1-1)
Rfam family: tRNA
About the family: Transfer RNA (tRNA) molecules are approximately 80 nucleotides in length. Their secondary structure includes four short double-helical elements and three loops (D, anti-codon, and T loops).
Source: RNAcentral